Mytilus trossulus (common blue mussel) is the source of this 628-nucleotide long non-coding RNA. RefSeq lists it as uncharacterized. The transcript has 3 exons. The record is from RefSeq and is a predicted model, not a curated record. Lineage: Eukaryota; Metazoa; Mollusca; Bivalvia; Mytilida; Mytilidae.
UCGAGUACACAGACUGUCAAAAACAUUUGUACUGUUUACAUAAUUAUUGAGCUUGUAAACAAAACAAACUGACACCCCAUAUCAAGCAUUUUUAAAAACUUAAAGUGAUUCUUGUUUUGGCUAAUCAAAAUAACACGACCGAAAUAUGGUGUGAAUGAUAAUAAAUCUCUGCAGUUAUCUGAAGGAGAAACUCACCGGAAAGUCGAAGGACAAACGUGAUGUUACCCUGAUAACUGAAGAGAAACCAAAAUCUACCUCAAUGUAUGGACAAGGCCAUGACACUUACAGGGAAAGCCAAUAUAGACAAGAUCAAAAUGGAACGAGAAAGACCAGUGCAGCAAUGCCAACAAUACCAAAUGGAUAAAAAUAAUAACAUUUCAACAUAUUUCAGAUUGCACCAUAUAAUGUAGAGUUUUAUUUAUUUGAAAUACAUUCCAUGAAGGAUUUACCUUAAACUUGAACAAAGAUUGGUAUAACUGGAUGUAUUCCUUGUAUAUUCAAAUAAAUAUUACUGUUUCAUUGUUUUGUGUGAUUAAUCAAUAUUUAUUAAGUCUUUUAAAGACAUUUGAUACUAUUUUGUCAUUUUGUUGAACUGUGUUUUACAUGUAUUAAAUUUGAUUAAUGUUUA